Molecule: RNA transcript, 3063 nt
Organism: Humulus lupulus (European hop)
Lineage: Eukaryota; Viridiplantae; Streptophyta; Magnoliopsida; Rosales; Cannabaceae
Gene name: pentatricopeptide repeat-containing protein At4g21300
Exons: 2
Source: RefSeq, a predicted model, not a curated record
UGAUUCCCAGAAGACUGAAGUGAGAAGAACACUUCUGCCAUUGUUAUGUUCAAGAAAACCUUAUGUCAACUUCACAAGCACUUGAUUUGUACUUCGCCACCACACUUCAAAUCAGUACACACCAACUCCGUAAAUGUGUUUAAACCAUUUGUGAACUUUCCAAGCACCGAAAUAGCCUUACCACCCGACUGGUACGUGCCAAUCUUGCAAGCUUGUUGUGACCAUGCUCUUGUUCGCCAAGGCAAGCAAGUUCAUGCUCAGUUGGUUGUUAAUGGCGCUGGACUCAGCACCAAAAACAAUCUUCUGGGUACUAAGCUUUUGGCCAUGUAUGUUCUUUGUGGAAGCUUUUUACAUGCCAAGAAUGUGCUUCGUUACCUCGAGUUGGGUCUUGCCUCACCUUGGAAUUGGAUGAUUAGAGGGUUUACUAUGAUGGGUUUGUUUAAUUAUGCUUUGAGGUUUUAUUUUAAGAUGUUGGGUUGUGGGACUUCGCCUGAUAAGUAUACUUUUCCUCCCGUGAUUAAAGCUUGUGGUGGUUUGAACAAUGUAAGUUUAGCAAAAUAUGUUCAUGAGAGAGUUAGAUUGAUGGGUUUGGAGGUAGAUGUGUUUGUUGGGAGUUCUUUGAUUAAGUUAUACGCUGAAAAUGGUUGUAUUUAUGAGGCUAGGGAACUGUUUGAUAAAAUGCCUCAAAGAGAUAGUGUGUUAUGGAAUGUCAUGAUUAAUGGUUAUGUGAGAAAUGGAGAUAGAAAAAAUUGUGUUGAAAUUUUCUUGAAAAUGAGAGAGAGUGAUAUGAAACCCAAUUCGGUCACUUAUGCUUGUGUUUUGUCUGUUUGUGCAUCAGAAGAGUUAAUUUGGUUUGGUACUCAGCUUCAUGGGCUUGUUUUUUCAAGUGGAUUGGAAUUGGAUUCUCCUGUUGCUAACACAUUGAUGGCUAUGUAUUCAAAAUGCCAACGCUUGUCUGAUGCUUCUAAACUGUUUAACUUGCUGCCACAAACUGAUCUAGUGAGUUGGAAUGGAAUGAUAUCUGGUUAUGUACAGAAUGGAUUCAUGAUUGAGGCUUCAAAUUGUUUUCGCAACAUGAUAUCUGCUCGUAUUGAACCUGACUCAAUUACGUUUGCAAGUUUUCUUCCAUCUGUAACUGAGUUUGCUAGUCUUAAACAAGGUAAGGAAAUUCAUUGCUAUAUAAUAAGACACGGUGUGCCAAUAGAUGUGUUCUUGAAAGGUGCGCUUAUUGAUUUAUACUUCAAGUGCAGAAAUGUGGAGAUGGCUUGCAAGAUUCUUGAUCAAAGUAAUGCAGUGGAUGUCAUUGUUUUCACAUCAAUGAUUUCAGGGUUUGUGCUUAAUGGGAUGAAUUCUAAUGCUUUGGAGAUUUUCAGACGGUUACUUCAAGUGAAAAUGAGACCGAAUUCUGUAACUUUGGCAAGUAUUUUUCCUGCUUUUGCUGGUAUGGCUGCUCUGAAAUUGGGAGGGGAAUUGCAUGGUAACACCAUAAAAAAUGGGCUUGACAAGUGGUUCUAUGUGGGAAGUGCAAUCACUGACAUGUAUGCAAAAUGUGGAAGAUUGGAUCUUGCCCGUCAAGUAUUUCAAAAAAUUUCUGCAAAGGAUGCUGUUUGUUGGAACUCAAUGAUUACCAGUUGUUCUCAGAAUGGAAAACCAGAGGAGGCUAUUGAUCUAUUUCGUCAAAUGGGGUUAGAAGGAGCCAAGUAUGAUUGCGUGAGUAUAUCAGCUGCCCUUUCCAGUUGUGCAAACUUACCAGCUCUCCAUUAUGGGAAAGAGAUCCACGGUUUCAUGAUUAGAAGAGCAUUCAGCUCUGAUAUUUUCUCUGGAAGUGCUCUGAUAGACAUGUAUGCCAAAUGUGGAAACUUGGAUGUUGCUCGCCAGGUAUUUAACCAUAUGGAAGGCAAGAAUGAAGUGUCCUGGAACAGCAUAAUUGCUGCUUAUGGGAACCAUGGUCACCUUGAGGAGUCCCUCACUCUAUUUCAUGAGAUGUUACAGAAAGGAAUCCUGCCUGAUCAUGUCACGUUCCUCGGUAUAAUUUCUGCUUGUGGCCAUGUAGGUCGAGUCGACGAUGGGAUUCACUUUUUUCGUCUAAUGACUGAGAGUUAUCAGAUACCUGCCAGAAUGGAGCAUUAUGCAUGCAUGGUAGAUUUGUUUGGCCGUGCUGGACGGUUAACCGAAGCAUUUAAGACAAUAAAAAACAUGCCUUUUUCACCCGACGCAGGUGUUUGGGGCACGUUGCUUGGAGCUUGCCGAGUCCAUGGCAAUGUUGAACUUGCUGAAGAGGCGUCAAAACAUCUUCUUGAAUUGGACCCACAUAACUCCGGCUACUAUAUAUUACUUUCCAACAUACAUGCUGAUGCUGGAGACUGGAGAAGUGUGCUUAAGAUACGUAGUUUGAUGAAAGAAAGAGGCGUACAGAAGGUACCUGGGUAUAGCUGGAUUGAUAUCAACAACAUAACCCAUAUGUUUGUUGCAGCAGAUGGAAGUCAUCCUGAUUCAGCUGAGAUAUAUUCAUUGCUUAAUAACCUUCUUCAAGAGCUGAGGAGAGAGGGUUAUGUUCCUCAACUUUACCUCCCAAUGCAUCCACAGAUAUUAGGAAUAUGAAUCUUUGAAGAACAGUUUCACCAUCUUUAGCCUUCUGGCUGUUCCUCUUCAUUGAAUGUUGAUGUUAACAGAACCUCAAGGAGCUACAUAAGCUACCAAUUAGCUGUCCUGUGGAGACAUUCUUACCAAUCAUUAUUGGUAAAGGCAAUAGUGCAUCAUUAUUAUUAUUAUUAUUAUCAGUACGGUCCACCGGUUAUAGUAUCAUGAAAUUGUUUUAUCUGUACAUUGUGAUCUAGAAUGGAGACUUGUAUUUGAAACUCUGUUGUGUCUGUUUUGGCCUUCUGUCCAUUAAAUGGCAUUAUAUUAUAUCUGAUUUUCUUCUCAUGGAAAGCUUAAGAAUUUGAUGGGAUGAUAUCUUUUUCCUUUUCCUUUACAACUGGAAUGCUAGUUCUUAAGGUUCAUAUGGUCCAGCUAUGAAGAUGCAAAGAAGAGUGGUUUUGGUAAAAAAAAAAAAUGGCGAGC